GAUGAACGCUGGCGGCGUGCCUAAUACAUGCAAGUCGAGCGAACAGAUGAGGAGCUUGCUCCUCUGACGUUAGCGGCGGACGGGUGAGUAACACGUGGAUAACCUACCUAUAUGACGGGGAUAACUUCGGGAAACCGGAGAUAAUACCGGAGAAUAUAUUGAACCGCAGGGUUCAAUAGUGAAAGACGGUUUUGCUGUCACUAAUAGAUGGAUCCGCGCCGCAUUAGCUGGUUGGUAAGGUAACGGCUUACCAAGGCAACGAUGCGUAGCCGACCUGAGAGGGUGAUCGGCCACACUGGAACUGAGACACGGUCCAGACUCCUACGGGAGGCAGCAGUAGGGAAUCUUCCGCAAUGGGCGAAAGCCUGACGCAGCAACGCCGCGUGAGUGAUGAAGGUCUUCGGAUCGUAAAACUCUGUUAUUGGGGAAGAACAAAUGUGUAAGUAACUAUGCACGUCUUGACGGUACCUAAUCAGAAAGCCACGGCUAACUACGUG
RNAcentral lists this ribosomal RNA (497 nucleotides) under uncultured bacterium. RNAcentral describes it as "partial 16S ribosomal RNA". It matches the Rfam family "Bacterial small subunit ribosomal RNA", at positions 28 to 507 of the family's 1533-position model. The record is from RNAcentral.